This 253-nucleotide ribosomal RNA is filed under the name uncultured bacterium. Its description in RNAcentral is "partial 16S ribosomal RNA". It matches the Rfam family "Bacterial small subunit ribosomal RNA", at positions 524 to 776 of the family's 1533-position model. The record is from RNAcentral.
GACGUAGGGCGCGAGCGUUGUCCGGAUUGAUUGGGCGUAAAGGGCUCGUAGGCGGCCAACUAAGUCAGACGUGAAAUCCCUCAGCUUAACUGGGGAACUGCGUCUGAUACUGGAUGGCUUGGAUCCGGGAGAGGGAUGCGGAAUUCCAGGUGUAGCGGUGAAAUGCGUAGAUAUCUGGAGGAACACCGGUGGCGAAGGCGGCAUCCUGGACCGGUAUUGACGCUGAGGAGCGAAAGCCAGGGGAGCAAACGGG